CGGAUUAACAAUGGUCACUGCUGGCCCCUGAGUCGUACACGGUGAUUACUGCGUCGCUGGACCUCUGAGGGCCGC
Small nucleolar RNA from Phyllostomus hastatus (greater spear-nosed bat), 75 nucleotides. RefSeq annotates it as small nucleolar RNA SNORD113/SNORD114 family. The record is from RefSeq and is a predicted model, not a curated record. Lineage: Eukaryota; Metazoa; Chordata; Mammalia; Chiroptera; Phyllostomidae. The transcript has a single exon.